Molecule: ribosomal RNA, 1399 nt
Filed under: Vibrio cholerae CP1048(21)
Lineage: Bacteria; Pseudomonadati; Pseudomonadota; Gammaproteobacteria; Vibrionales; Vibrionaceae
Description: bacterial LSU rRNA
Rfam family: Bacterial large subunit ribosomal RNA
Source: RNAcentral
UUAAGUGACUAAGCGUACACGGUGGAUGCCUGGCAGUCAGAGGCGAUGAAGGACGUACUAACUUGCGAUAAGCGCAGAUAAGGCAGUAAGAGCCGUUUGAGUCUGCGAUUUCCGAAUGGGGAAACCCAACUGCAUAAGCAGUUACUGUUAACCUGAAUACAUAGGUUAACAGAGCAAACCGGGGGGAACUGAAACAGUCUAAGUACCCCGAGGAGAAGAAAUCAACCGAGAUUCCGGUAGUAGCGGCGAGCGAACCUGGAUUAGCCCUUAAGCACUCGGUGAAGUAGGUGAACAAGCUGGAAAGCUUGGCGAUACAGGGUGAUAGCCCCGUAACCGACGCUUCAUCGAGCGUGAAAUCGAGUAGGACGGGACACGUGAUAUCCUGUCUGAAUAUGGGGGGACCAUCCUCCAAGGCUAAAUACUCCUGACUGACCGAUAGUGAACCAGUACCGUGAGGGAAAGGCGAAAAGAACCCCUGUGAGGGGAGUGAAAUAGAACCUGAAACCGUGUACGUACAAGCAGUAGGAGCACCUUCGUGGUGUGACUGCGUACCUUUUGUAUAAUGGGUCAGCGACUUAUAUUCAGUGGCAAGGUUAACCGUAUAGGGGAGCCGUAGCGAAAGCGAGUCUUAACUGGGCGCUCAGUCUCUGGAUAUAGACCCGAAACCGGGUGAUCUAGCCAUGGGCAGGUUGAAGGUUGAGUAACAUCAACUGGAGGACCGAACCGACUAAUGUUGAAAAAUUAGCGGAUGACUUGUGGCUAGGGGUGAAAGGCCAAUCAAACUCGGAGAUAGCUGGUUCUCCCCGAAAGCUAUUUAGGUAGCGCCUCGGACGAAUACUACUGGGGGUAGAGCACUGUUAAGGCUAGGGGGUCAUCCCGACUUACCAACCCUUUGCAAACUCCGAAUACCAGUAAGUACUAUCCGGGAGACACACGGCGGGUGCUAACGUCCGUCGUGGAGAGGGAAACAACCCAGACCGCCAGCUAAGGUCCCAAAGUAUUGCUAAGUGGGAAACGAUGUGGGAAGGCUCAGACAGCUAGGAUGUUGGCUUAGAAGCAGCCAUCAUUUAAAGAAAGCGUAAUAGCUCACUAGUCGAGUCGGCCUGCGCGGAAGAUGUAACGGGGCUAAGCAAUACACCGAAGCUGCGGCAAUUCUUUUAGAAUUGGGUAGGGGAGCGUUCUGUAAGCCGUUGAAGGUGAAUCGUAGGUUUGCUGGAGGUAUCAGAAGUGCGAAUGCUGACAUGAGUAACGACAAAGGGGGUGAAAAACCUCCUCGCCGGAAGACCAAGGGUUCCUGUCCAACGUUAAUCGGGGCAGGGUGAGUCGACCCCUAAGGUGAGGCCGAAAGGCGUAAUCGAUGGGAAACGGGUUAAUAUUCCCGUACUUCUGACUAUUGCGA